AGUUCUUUGUUUUGUUUUGCCGGGUGGUGGGGGAUGGCUGUCGCAGGCGUACGCACGCCCCUUCCCCCCUCCCCGUCCCUGACUCCUGUCCGCUUACUGGCGCACGCUCACAGACGGACCCUCGUCGCCGCGACACCAACGUAACGGAACGCAGCGGCGGCGACAAUCAUGAAUGCGUAUAGCUUGCACGGAAAGAGGUGCGCCGACCCCAGCCACUGGCCGCAGUGGAUUCCUCUCACUGGGGAAUCGAACGCCUCCCUGCCCGUCCCACCCCAGCCUCCCUCCUCCACACUGUCGACGAACGCGACUUCGUCGCCCGGCAUUGACGAGCACUCGCGGGAGGCCUGUAUGAACGCACUGCUGCAGUAUGUGACACAGUGGAUGGCCAUCUUACCAAGCGGUGUCAGCAGCGGGACAGAAGCGGCGCUGCAUGGCGCAGGAAUCGCUACAGGGACCUUCUCCAUGAACGCAACAGACAGCGCAUGCGCGUCGCUGUCGGUGCAGCCAGUAGCCAUGCUGAACGCGAUGCUGGUGAGUCUGCCCACCGCCGUGGCGGCCCCGCCCGUACAAGGACGGCAGCAGGGGGCCGCGUCGCCUCCGCGUCCCGAAGAAGCCGCUGAGCCUGGCUCGUCGCUGACUUCCACCAAGGUGCCAGAGCUCACUCCUAUAAUUGAGGAUACCCCUGCACGUCCUCCGCAGCUACUGGACGUGGCUGCGCAACUGCUGCGCCACAGCAAGUGGCUCGCCUCGGGACUAUCGCACGCCGCUGGACCGGCACCGCGGCUGCCAUCUUCAGCUCUCGUCUCUCACGCCUACCAACACGCGUUGCUUGCUGCGUGCAGUUCUGACUGGGUGAUGCAGUUCCGCCGCGCAUACAAGGCGGGGACAGCGACGGACAGCACCACCACAGCGAAGGCAGACGCGCGCGGCCUGUCAGCGCCGCUUCCAUGGACGCUGCCGCCUGCAGUUCUCGUGGAGUCGUCUACGAGCGGAUACGUGAUGCAGCCGAUUGAGGGCUACCGCGGUACGCUCGUCUUGCUUCUGUUUCAUCCACUGCGCGUCGUGCGCGUUUGGGCGCGAGAUGUGCUGCUUCGCUUGAUGACGUGCACCGCGCCGCAGCACGAGGCGUCAGCGCCGGGCGAGUCGAGCAGCGACGGCGGCGAGCGUGCGCUCGCAACUCUUCUCUCCUUUUCGCUGCGGCUGCUGUGCACGCUGAAGCACGUGUCGGUGCUACCGGCUCAGGUUUCCUUUAUCAGCCUCCACGAACAUCCGUCGUGGACUGCAAGCGCGGCCCCGGAGCGGCACGUGGACGCGGUCAAGUACGUGAUGCAGGACCGCAUUCACACCGUCGUCGACGGCAUCUUCCACCUGCUCACGGUGCUCACCGCCUGGGACAUGCACUUUGGGAAGGCGGUGGAAGCCCUGACGAUGACAUCGACCGCAACUGUCGACCGCGCAUCUGCCACAUCGAUGCCUAUCCUACUGGGCAAGUGCCGUGCAACAGUCCUGCUGCUCGGAGGCAGCCUCGUGCUCUACGGACUGCAAGGACUGCAUCAAGGCAUCCAUCGCGCGCUACUCGAGGCGUGGCGAGAUCAACAGCAUCGACACCCGCGGAGCUCCUCCGCACGCGGGGAUCUGUUCUGUGCAUCGCAGGCGGCCAUGACGCAGCUGCUGGGCCCUCUAAACACUCUUCUUUCCAGUAAUCCGCGCAUGCCACGGGCGAAUGCGGUGGCAGCGACUGCCAUACGUAAGGCGCUCGCUAAGGUCCUCGUGCACUGUCUCCUGGACAACGCCAGCGGUCUUGCGAGCAGCAAGGAGGAGGAGGCGUGGCGCAGAGCGCGGCUGGAGUGGCUCUGGAUGUUCGCGGCAGCGCUCGAGCCGCCGACGCCGCGGGCAGCAGCACCCCUGCUGGCCGAUGGUCCCAACGCGUCUGCGCCAUCCUCUGCGGACCAUACCGGCACGGCUGCGCCUGAGCACCAGGGCAGUGGCACAACGAAGGCGACUGGGCAAGACGAUGUCGGCACAGGAACGCUGGUGUGGGUGCCGGAGAGAUGCGCUGGUUGGUUGCUGCGGCCGCUGUUGAAGAAUGCGGCGCAACAGUUCCAGUGGGCGAAGGCGAUGGUGGCUGCGAAGGCAAAGCCGAGUGCCGGGGGCGCGGCGACUGCGUCGGACGGCACGGAUAGCGCCAUAGCAGUGCUCGACAAGGCCGUGUACGGUGUCUCUAUGCUGCUCGACAGCCUCGCCACAGCGCUUCCACGCCUCGUGCGUAGCACUUACCUGCACGACACACUGGUGGCGCACGAGUCGCAACUCCUCACGCUGGCGAUUGGCGGCAUCGUGCACACCCGCAGCACACACGCGUUGCGCCUGCAUCGUCUUCUCUUUCACGCGGAUGUGCACGCGUUCGCGGCGGGUGCUGCGGCCCAGGGAAGGGGUGGCACUGCGCCAGCCGGCACGCUUGGUGUCCCGAGCGUGUGCCUUCAGCGUUUGUGGCUCACGCUGCCAACGCUCAUUGUGCAGGUGUGCAAGAGCGGCGCCGUCUCUCCGGCAGACUGCGGCGGUCACGCAGGCAGCGCCAUCAGUGGCGGCCCUCUUCCCCUCUCGGAAGUUGUGGCGAGUCUCUGCGGGGCGCUGACGGUUCUGGCGGAGGAGGACGCGAUGCCGUGCCCACAGUGGCUCUUCAUGUCCCCAGCAAAGGUCAUGUCGCGCGCGCCGCCACCCUUUCAGUGGGUUGUGCAGCGCUGCCUGCGCACCUUGGCAGGCACGCUUCAAGAGCAGCAGGAACUGCUGAAGCGGGUGUGGCUGAGGCUACCCUCUGCGCCGACGGAGGCAGCCUACGCCUCGGCAGCCGCAGCAGCAGCGUCUCGGGCGUUGACGCAGGAAAGGCCGCUUCUGCGCCUUCUCUUCGCCCUGCGUGUUGCCGCUGCCGAAGACGCGGAGGCUGGCAAGCUCGCUGAGCGGCUCACCGCUGUGUUCUGCGUCGGCGUCACGAGCUCCGUCUCCCGCACGCUGUCGACCGAGGCGGCCAUGUGGGUGUGGAGACGCGUCGUGGUUACGCAGCCGGAGCUGCGCCUCCAUCCACCGCCUCCCUCUACGGCCUCCACAGCCGCCGCGGCUGCUGCUGCUGGUGAUGGCGCCUAUGCGGCGUGGGACAUGAACGACGCUGUCGUCACGAGCACGGCACGCGCACAGGGGCACCGAUGGCUGGUGCUCCUGUGCGCGUGCCACUUUGACCAGAUGAGCGAGUGGGAAGUGCAGUGCGGGUGGUGGAUGGCGGCGCUGCUGGCGGACGUGGUGACGCUGGACGUGGAGCAGCGUCGCGCGCUUGCUGAGCAGGUUAUUCUCGCUCUUCCCACGGCCCCCAUGCUGGCCCUCAGCGAAGCAGCCACGCACGCGGUGGGCAGCACCCAUCCGCCAGUCGAGGAGGCAGCGGAGGGCCAGUGCGGCGCUAUAGAGAAGAAGGGCGAGCAUCAACUGCGAGACAAGGGGGCGGAGUCGGCGCAGCACCGCCACAGUGUUGUUCAACGGCUCUUGAUCCACGUGCUUCGCAAGGCGGAGCAGUACCCGCAGGCAAGCCUUGCCAGCGUGCUGCUGCGUAUCAGCGACGCUCUACCGCCGGCCGUGGCUGCGCGCGAUGUGCAGUUUCAGCAGCAGGUCCAGCCGCUGCUGGUGCAGCUGUGCGCACGCAGCCCUGACGUGCAGAAGUGCCUUACUCGGAAUGGCGCCAUGUGGCUGCGCCGCUGCACCGAGCAGGCUACACAGACGAUCAACGAGUGUCUGGCAGAGCAGGAGCGCCGCUUCCGUCAAUUCGAGCUCGAGGAGGCUACGCUGCGGCGAGAGGAGGUGGAGGCGGCGCAGGCGGCCGUCGCGGCGGAGCGCUUGCGGCACGCGAACGAGGCGAAGCGGACGGCGGAGUUGGGCCAGCAGCGGGUCGUCAAGCGGUCCACCGCGGCGUCGGAGGUGUCGCAGAGCGGCAGUGACGGCGGUGUAGUCAGUCUCCCCAUGCGCAAACCGACCACCACGGUAUCUCAUCACAGCGACCACGGCAGCUCUGCCGUUGCAGCGACACGCCGUGAUCUGCGGCAGCAGCAACUCUUCCCGGACCUAUCCCUCGCUCACUUAGCGGUGAAGCGGGAGCGUACGCCGCCCGUCGAUGGCGCAGACAUGCGCAGUCCCAAGAGCGUGCCACCGCGGCCGGCUGACAACGGCUCAUCUGCGAUGACUGCGCUGAACGUGGACAGCGACGAGGAAGACGUGAUGGUCGCCGCAUCCACGGUGCAGCUGCUCGGCAGCUUUGCACGUCCUGCUUCGCCAUGCGCGGUCACACCACCAUCACCCGCAUCCGCGCCGGCGCCGCUUGCCAAGGCGCCGAAGACGUCCCCGUCGACGACGGCGUCCACCACGGCGCGGGCAGCUCCGACGCGGCUGCAGCACAAGCUGCAGGAAAUCAAUGCCCGCAACACGCACCGGGUCCAUCACGCCGAACAGCUGCGCCAGCUGCAAGAGCGCCUGCGCCGAGUGGCCAUCAGCACGAAUCUCCUUCACCUGCAGCCGCCACUCGUCCACGACAUCGUUGGCCCUGCGUCGCAGUGCAUGGCUCCUGAAGUCCCUGUGCUGCCAGAGGUGUUCGUGUCUGCGUCCGAUGGGUUUCGGCGGGUCUCAUUUGACGGGUCCGCCGCCUCCGCUGGUGGUGCAUCGCUCAACGCGUCUGCCACGAUGCCCUUCGGCGACGCAGCGAGCGAGUACGCGGUGCGCUUCGCGCCGCACAUUGCGUUGGAGCUGCGCUACGACAUCAUUCGCAACUACGAAGACUUUCUGGACGAUGUGUGUAAGGGACACGACGGACGCGACACGAACUCGUCGCAUUACUACCGUCACUCAGCCGCGACGGCACCAGUGACAGCGGGCGAAGGGGCAUCGCCGUCUCCCGUGAAUGGCCUGUGGAACAGUCUGCUGCCGCUGCAUCCAGGCAUCCCGCCGGCGUGUGUGGCGGUGCAGAGCAGCUGCGCGGCGUCACGCGGGCACAGCGGCGAGGCCGUGCCGGGUCCGCAAACUCUGCACUUUGAUGUGCGAGCGUGCGCCAACCCCGCUGUCGACGUGUAUCUGCAGCGGCAGCAGCAACGGGCGCAAGACACCCAUUCGAGUGCGCAGAGAAGCUCAACAACGUCGACGACCAUGCACCCCAAGUCUGUUCAUGCGGUGGUGGUGGCGGCCGCGCAGCAGGGGCUCUCUGCCGCCUUCUCAGAAGGCGACGUCGUCGCGGUACUGCUGCCUCUGCAAACAAUUUUGGCCAAGUGGGCCGAGCGCGAGCUGCGGCGCCCUCUCUCCGACUUCCCCGUUGCCGAGCUUGAGCAUCGCGUCCUCGAGAUGCUCGACACUCUGCCGCGUAGUUGGCGCACCCUCGGCUGCGCUGUGCAGGUGUGCGAAGUGCAGUCGCUGUCGCCAGGGGGGCGUGCGGCACACCUCUGCGCAACUCCAUCGGUGGUGGAGCAAUCAUCAGGCGGGCACGGACCUCCCUCGCUGCGCUUCUCUCACGUAUUUCGCAUGGCGUACGACACGACAUCGUCGCCAACCUUCUACGUCACGAAGCUCACCUCUGUCAACGCCUCGCUGAUGGAGCUGGAGGCACUGCACAAGAUCGACCGUACCCGCUUCGCCGCAACUCUCUACGACCCGCGCAGCACGGCACCUGUCGGUGUGGCCUUCUGCGGCUGGGCCAACUCGCUCCUCUCCACCGCAGGCCCGUCUUGCACCGUGCCGCUGCUCGACCAGCUGCGCGCGCGCCUGCUCCUGCAGCAGCAGCUCAACGACUGGCAGGCUCGCGCCAUCGUGGCCGUGCUGUACGCCGCGUGUCCUGGCUGGGACGACGGGGUGGCGGAGCAGAGCACACGGGCGCCUGUGCCGCGCGCACCGGAGAUGCUCGUGAUCGAGGGCCCACCGGGCACCGGCAAGACGCAGACCAUCGGUUUGCUGACGCUAAACCUGCUGCACCACCUCAGCCGUACGUGGGGCACGGCGCGGCGUAUCUUGGUGUGCGCGCCGUCGAACUGUGGGGUGGAUGAGGCGCUGCUGCGUGUGGUGCGGCUGCGCGAGCAGCUGCGGGGAGCUGCGCCCGGUGGUGCGCUACCGCCUGCGCAUGCGGUGCUCGCCGGCGGACUGCUGCGCAUCGGUGUGCGAGAUAGGGUGGACAGGGAAGUGCUGCGGCUGCAGGAGCCCGUCUUCUUCGACGACGUUGUCGAGCGGCACCUGAGCGGCACCCCGGCUACUGCAGAGAGUCUCAGGCGUGGCGAGCGGGCCGGCGGCUCGCGGGACUCUGCGAGCCCCAGAGGCCACAAUGCAGGCGGCAACGGCACAGCUAGUGGGAGGGCAGCCGUGCGCAGCGCAAUUCGCACGCACACGCUGGAGUCCGCCGCCAUUGUCUUCUCCACCCUUGGCUCGCUUCACCACAUCGGCCGCCAGGUGCAAGGAAUCGCCUUCGACGUGGUCAUCGUGGACGAGGCGUCGCAGGGAACAGAGCCGGCCGUGCUGCAGGCGGUUGCUCUCGCCAAGAGCAAGAGCGUGCUCGUCGGCGACUCCCGCCAGCUGCAGCCUACCGUGCUCUCUUGGGAGGCGAGCCGCUGCGGGCUGCGGCGCAGUCUGCUGGUGCGCUUGCUCGCCUGCGGCCACCCCUCCUUUCUGCUGCGCACGCAGUACCGCAUGCACCCCGACAUUGCCGCCUUCCCCAACGAGUACUUCUACGGCUCGAAGCUGCUCACCGAUCGAAGUGUGCUUGCGCGGUCGCGUGCGCCGGACAGCCCAACCGCCGCGCCGGCGACCAUCGCGCAGCAGCUCGGCCGAUGCCCACGCUUUGUGUUUGUGGACGUGCGCGACUCGCCGAUGGAGCGGCGGCGCGGCCGGUCGCUGCUCAACCGCCGCGAGGCCACCGCUGUGGUAGACUGCAUGCGGCAGCUGCGCGCGUUCUUCAAGAUGACGGUGCGCGAGAUGGCUGCACAUGUCGGCAUCAUCACCUUCUACACUGCGCAGAGGGAGACGAUUCUGUCGACCCUCACGCAGGAGGAGCGCCACAGUGGUGUGCAGGUGGCGACAGUGGACAGCUUCCAGGGGAAGGAGAAGCGGAUCAUCCUGCUGAGCUGUGUGCGGACGCUGAGCGCGGCGCAGCUGCAGCGGCGCGCGGCGCAAGGGGAAAAGGAGCGCAACAGCGAUGAUAGCGACGGUGUUGCCAGGGAGGAGCGCAGCGCAAAUCGACGCCUCGGUCGCUACGGGCUCGGAUUUCUGGCAGACUGGCAUCGCCUGAACGUCGCGCUGACGCGUGCGCAGGAUUUGUGCGUGUGUUUUGCGAGCCGCGACACCGUGCGUGCCGUGGGCAUGGCGGCCAUGGCGUCUGCGGCGCCGGCAAAUGCAGUGACCACGGUGGAUAGCUCGGCGGAGGAAGUGGAGCACCAGCUAGAUGCGGACGAUGAGGACCCCCUGGCGCUGUAUCGCAUGCUGGCGCACGCUGAAACUCGCGAUCCUACCCUACAGCCACCAGCGAGUGAGCCGGUGCUGCUUGAGGCGUCGACAGACUCCGUCGAGAUCGUGGACGCGCCAGGCGCGAGCCGCUCGCGAGCGGCUUGCUUGACAUACCGCUGCAAGGCUCACCUCGUGAGCGAGCUCACGGCGCGGGCAGGGGCCGCGCAGGCGCGGGAUGACCUCCGCAGCGCGCAGUGAGAGCACCCCGCACGCAAAGAUCGUGCGGUGGCCGCACCUGUGCGUCGCGCACACCCUGGGCGAUGGUGGAGGGCAGGGCGGAAGAAGGAGGCGGAACGGGUGGCGCAGCCGGUGCGCGCAUGUGGAGCGUUGGGGCGUUGUAUUACAGACGACCGAUGAUGCAAGAAGACACGAGCAGGAAAAUAUUGUGUGAUCACACAGCGAGCGCACAGACGCUAAUGUCGGGUGCGCGCACUUCGUGCUCAUCAGGAAGUGGCGCAUCCAAGAGCGUUGGCCCACACGUGGGCAUGAGUCCUG
RNAcentral lists this unclassified non-coding RNA (8004 nucleotides) under Leishmania donovani. RNAcentral describes it as "gene:LdHU3.09.1540(CDS-product:ATP-dependent_heli case_putative)". The record is from RNAcentral. Lineage: Eukaryota; Euglenozoa; Kinetoplastea; Trypanosomatida; Trypanosomatidae.